RNAcentral lists this ribosomal RNA (456 nucleotides) under uncultured bacterium. RNAcentral describes it as "bacterial SSU rRNA". It matches the Rfam family "Bacterial small subunit ribosomal RNA", at positions 8 to 507 of the family's 1533-position model. The record is from RNAcentral.
AGAGUUUGAUCAUGGCUCAAGAACGAACGCUGGCGGCAGGCCUCAAACAUGCAAGUCUAGGGGGUGUAGCAAUACAUCACCGGCGGACGGGUGCGUAACGCGUGGGAAUAUACCUAUCGAUUCGGAACAACUGAGGGAAACUUCAGCUAAUACCGAAUACGUCCUAACGGAGAAAGAUUUAUCGUCGAUAGAUUAGCCCGCGUUCGAUUAGCUAGUUGGUGGGGUAACGGCCCACCAAGGCGACGAUCGAUAGCUGUUCUGAGAGGAAGAUCAGCCACACUGGGACUGAGACACGGCCCAGACUCCUACGGGAGGCAGCAGUUGGGAAUCUUGGACAAUGGGGGAAACCCUGAUCCAGCCAUGCCGCGUGAGUGAUGAAGGCCUUCGGGUUGUAAAACUCUUUCGCGCACGACGAUAAUGACGGUAGUGCGAGAAGAAGCUCCGGCUAACUUCGUG